Molecule: long non-coding RNA, 95 nt
Organism: Salarias fasciatus (jewelled blenny)
Lineage: Eukaryota; Metazoa; Chordata; Actinopteri; Blenniiformes; Blenniidae
Exons: 3
Source: RefSeq, a predicted model, not a curated record
CAGAUGCUGGUGCCAGGCUGGACUCUGGAGCCCUGGUACUUCGGCUUCCCGCAGCAGCAGCAGUGGACGCAGCAGAGGACGAUCAUGAGGAGGAA